Molecule: non-coding RNA, 94 nt
Organism: Mycena leptocephala
Lineage: Eukaryota; Fungi; Basidiomycota; Agaricomycetes; Agaricales; Mycenaceae
Source: the annotation of a GenBank genome assembly
GGCCUUGUGGUGUAGUGGUAACACAUCCUCAAUUGAUUGCUCCAAAAAUUGAUCAAAUGUGAGGAAGUCCCUUGUUCGAAUCAAGGUGAGGCCA